This 760-nucleotide ribosomal RNA is filed under the name uncultured bacterium. RNAcentral describes it as "bacterial SSU rRNA". It matches the Rfam family "Bacterial small subunit ribosomal RNA", at positions 9 to 762 of the family's 1533-position model. The record is from RNAcentral.
GAGUUUGAUCCUGGCUCAGAUUGAACGCUGGCGGCGUGCCUAACACAUGCAAGUCGAGCGGUAACAGGUGUAGCAAUACAUGCUGACGAGCGGCGAACGGGUGAGUAAUGCUUCGGAAUCUGCCCAAUGGUGGGGAAUAACCAGCCGAAAGGUUGGCUAAUACCGCAUACGUCCUACGGGAGAAAGCAGGGGAUCGCAAGACCUUGCGCCGAUGGAUGAGCCGAAGUCGGAUUAGCUAGUUGGUAGGGUAACGGCCUACCAAGGCGACAAUCCGUAGCUGGUCUGAGAGGACGACCAGCCACGCUGGGACUGAGACACGGCCCAGACUCCUACGGGAGGCAGCAGUGGGGAAUAUUGGACAAUGGGGGCAACCCUGAUCCAGCGACGCCGCGUGUGUGAAGAAGGCCUGCGGGUUGUAAAGCACUUUUAGUGGGGAUGAAAAGCUCAGGGUUAAUACCUCUGGGUCUUGACCUAACCCACAGAAAAAGCACCGGCUAACUCUGUGCCAGCAGCCGCGGUAAUACAGAGGGUGCAAGCGUUAAUCGGAAUUACUGGGCGUAAAGCGUGCGUAGACGGUUGCGUAAGUCAGAUGUGAAAGCCCCGGGCUCAACCUGGGAAUUGCAUUUGAGACUGCGUAGCUAGGGUGCGGAAGAGGGAAGCGGAAUUUCCGGUGUAGCGGUGAAAUGCGUAGAUAUCGGAAGGAACACCAGUGGCGAAAGCGGCUUCCUGGUCCAGCACCGACGUUCAGGCACGAAAGCGU